This 1260-nucleotide ribosomal RNA is filed under the name Aphis gossypii (cotton aphid). RNAcentral describes it as "partial large subunit ribosomal RNA". The record is from RNAcentral. Lineage: Eukaryota; Metazoa; Arthropoda; Insecta; Hemiptera; Aphididae.
AAUUAAAUUUAUUAAUAUAUUUUUUUUUUUUUUAUUUUUUAUAAAAAUAAUUUAUUUAUUUAAUGUUUUAGUAUUUAGUAAAAAUUAAUUUUUAGAUUUAUAGUUUAAUAGUAUUGUAAAAGAAAUUGUUAAAUUUUAUAAAGAAUUUUAUAGUACCUUUUGUAUCAGGGUUGAUUAAAAUUUUUAAUUUUUUUUUAAUUUCUCAAAAUUUAUAGAGUUAAUUUUAUUAUUAAUUUAUUGUGGUAAAAAUAUUUAUAAAAUAAUAUUAGUUUUGAAAUUUAAUUCGUUAUAUUAUAUUUAGUUAUUUAAGAUUUAAAUUUAAUUUAAAAUUUUAAAAGUUGUAUUAAUUUUAUUGAUUAAUAUUUUAAAUUUAAAUUAUUUUAGGGAUAAGCUUGAAAUUUUAAUAUAAUAAUUUAUUUAUUUUAAUAAUUUAUAGGAAUAGAAAUUUUUAUUUAAGUUUGUAAAAAUUUAUUAUUUAUUUAAUUUUAAUUUAUUAUAUUUAUAUUUAUUUUUAAUAUUAAAUUUUAUUAAUUAAUAUUUAAUUAAUAGUAAUAAUGAUUAAAUUAGUAUAAUAUAUAAAUUUAUAAAUUAUGAAUUCGGCAAAAAUUAUUUUCAUCUGUUUAACAAAAACAUUGUAUUAAGUUUAAUUUAAUAUAGGAUCUGCUCAAUGAUUUAUUAAAUAGCUGCAGUAUUUUGACUGUGCAAAGGUAGCAUAAUAAUUAGUCUUUUAAUUGAGGACUUGAAUGAAAGAUUUGAUGAGAAAUAGACUUUAUUAUUUAUAAAAUUAAAAUUUUAUUUUUAAGUAAAAAAGCUUAAAUUAUUUAAAGGGACGAUAAGACCCUAUAAAACUUUAUAAAUUUUGAUUUUAAUUUUUUUGGAUUCAUAAAUAUUUUAUAAUUAAAAUUUAUUUUAUUGGGGUGAUAAAAAAAAUUAUUAAACUUUUUUUAAAAUUUAACAUUAUUUAAUGAUUAGUUGAAUUAAAAUUUUUAAUUAAAGGAAAAAGUUACUUUAGGGAUAACAGCGUAAUUAAUUUUUUAAGUUCAAAUUUAAAAAUUAGUUUGCGACCUCGAUGUUGAAUUAAGAUUAAUCUUAGGUGCAAAAUUUUAAGUAUUAGGUCUGUUCGACCUUUAAAUUCUUACAUGAUUUGAGUUCAAACCGGUGUAAGCCAGGUUGGUUUCUAUCUUUUAUUAAUUGAAUUAUUUUAGUACGAAAGGAUUGAAUAAUUAAAUUAAAUUUUAUAUAAUGAAUUAAAAUAAUUUA